RNAcentral lists this ribosomal RNA (253 nucleotides) under uncultured bacterium. RNAcentral's name for it is "partial 16S ribosomal RNA". It matches the Rfam family "Bacterial small subunit ribosomal RNA", at positions 524 to 776 of the family's 1533-position model. The record is from RNAcentral.
UACGUAGGGUGCGAGCGUUAAUCGGAAUUACUGGGCGUAAAGCGUGCGCAGGCGGCUUUGCAAGACAGAUGUGAAAUCCCCGGGCUCAACCUGGGAACUGCAUUUGUGACUGCAAGGCUAGAGUACGGCAGAGGGGGAUGGAAUUCCGCGUGUAGCAGUGAAAUGCGUAGAUAUGCGGAGGAACACCAAUGGCGAAGGCAAUCCCCUGGGCCUGUACUGACGCUCAUACACGAAAGCGUGGGGAGCAAACAGG